UGUCGUAUUUCCUAAAUUAUUUUUUUUGCUACUUAUCUGAAGUUACAGAUUUUGCUGUAGCUAAAAAUGUCCUUGUAGCCCAAUGAACUGACAAGAGAACAAUUUCUAAAAAAGUUGUGCAUUACUUUUCUUAAAUCCUUGUCUCUGAAAGAGAAGUGAAUGCAAGUGAUGCUGAGAGACCUUCCCAAGAUUUAACAGAAGAUGUUGAAAGACAGCUUGUCAUAAGAAUUAAAACACCAACAUUGACCGUUCCAUCACUGUUAAAAAUCAAAGAACUGGAUAAUUUUCUUCUGUUUUCUGGCGUAUAAGAAACACUGCCCAACACUGGUACCGUGCAGUUGAAAAAAUCUGUAAGAAGAGUGGGAAACUUCUGUUGGAUCUGUGUUCCUAGAGACUGUAAGAUCUUUUCCAGAGAGAGCCAAAUCCAGAUAAUUGAAGUUGGGAUCGCAGCUGCUCAGAAAUGCCUUGAAGCUUUGUCUUCUCUUUUUGAGAAAUUCUUUUGUAAGGUUUCUGGUAUCUUUAUCUUAGAAUUACUUUAAUUAGAAACCUCAACAGGAAUGGUUAUGAAAGUGAGUG
Molecule: long non-coding RNA, 576 nt
Filed under: Cyanistes caeruleus (blue tit)
Lineage: Eukaryota; Metazoa; Chordata; Aves; Passeriformes; Paridae
Description: lncRNA (ENSCCEG00000021476.1)
Source: RNAcentral